Ficedula albicollis (Collared flycatcher) is the source of this 1331-nucleotide long non-coding RNA. RefSeq lists it as uncharacterized. Lineage: Eukaryota; Metazoa; Chordata; Aves; Passeriformes; Muscicapidae. The transcript is spliced from 6 exons. The record is from RefSeq and is a predicted model, not a curated record.
AACAGCUGAAGUAAAUGAAGAGAUUUUUCAAAGGAGGCUUGAAGAGUUAAGCAUUGCAGUCUUAAUGGAGGUGGGUGGAUGAACACACAGAGCUCAUUGCUGAACUACUGAAGUUGGCUGCUCCCUGGCUCCUGCACAUGCAAAACAUUUGAAUUUCCUGUUGGCUCAGAGUGUUUGCAUUGCAAGUGACAUCUGGCUGACAGGAACUUGGAGAAAUGGGCUACAAAGUGAAUGCUGCAGUUACCACGGUAUCAUAUUUAUCAAAAGCCUUAAGAGUUCUUGAACAGGAGAUAAUCUGACACAAUGCAUUUUACAGUAUAGAUACCUGAUACAUUACUUCAUCAGCAAAUUCAACAAGGCCGAGAUGUCUUCAUUUUCCUGGGAGCAAGAGCAGUAAGAGCAGUGUGGUGGAAGCAUUGGUGCUCUGUGGCCAGCCGGCGAGAAGCCACCAACAGCUGUGAUGAGCAGAGCAGACACGGGGACAGGAGGCAGCUGAAGCCAAAGAGGACCCACGCCUGGAGCUGUGUCUGUGUGAUUGCAGCAGAGAGAGGCCAGGACCCAAGGAAAUCCCAGCAGCAAGGGAAAAAAACAGAUUGACUCUCAGUGACUCAUUUAGCUCCUGGAUUGGACAGAUCUCUCCCCUGCUGGCAAUUUGGCUGAGCAUCAAUGGACAGAUACCAGGAUGAAUAGCUUAAAAUAAUUAGGGGUUGGGAAUUUGCAAAACUGCUAGCCAUCCAAUUCUUUACUGUGCAAUGCGAGGCAGAAAAAAGAAAUUACAUUUAGGUUAUUAAAUAUUAAGUCAGUGGAUUUACUUCCAUUUGGUGCAGAACAGGAAACUGGCUAAAAUUCAACAUUUAUAUCAUUGUGUUGAUGGUCUGUUUAUCACUGAGCAAGUGCCUUUUGGCAGGUCAAGCUCUUUGACACAUGGGGCAAAUGUGUGCUUAAUUUCUCCCAAACAGAAGAAUUAAUAUAAUAAUAAUUAACACAGAUGAGAACAAAAUUAAAAUCAAGUGCAGUCAGGAGUUCAGUUUAAUGCCAGGUGUCUCACAUUCUAGGUGUUCUGGGGUCAGAUUUUUCCUGUUGAAGGUAGCAAGGAUUUUGCCUCUGGCACUUAUGGGAGCUGAAGUGGGCCUUGGAUGUAAAGAGACAGGAUUCCCUGUACUUCUAUUUAAUGCAUAAAACCUGAAGCAACAGGCUCAUUUAGUAUCAGAAAAGGUCAGUUAAAAUUAUAGAGACAUCCUUUGGAGCAAAUCCUCUACCUUGUAUUUGCAUAUUUAUGAAUUAGAGAUUACGACAGGCUAUUUCAUUUAUUAGAGCAGCACUGCUAUAGU